This 222-nucleotide long non-coding RNA is filed under the name Lathyrus oleraceus (garden pea). RNAcentral describes it as "Pisum sativum (pea) long non-coding RNA (PSAT_LNC038866)". The record is from RNAcentral. Lineage: Eukaryota; Viridiplantae; Streptophyta; Magnoliopsida; Fabales; Fabaceae.
UGGAUAAUUUCUGCUGUAUUGGCAUAUUCCCCAAUACAUGCGCCUUUGAGUCAGCUCGGGUCGUUCCAUUGAUUUCCUCCUUUUGGAAUUCUACUCCCCAAGCUUUGAGUCAUGACCUGCUCACGCAUUUUAUUCCUCUUUUAUCCCCAUAAGAGUCUUAGAGUCUCUGUCCCAUGGACUGAAUUACUCGUAUGGAUUGUCAGUUUCUCUUGACCUCUUCUC